GGGCAAGUCUUGUGCAACCAGCUCCCAACGAACCUCCCCAGAGUCGGAAGACAGCAAGGAUAAAUUGGUUGUAGCGGUGUGAUACAAGUAGCUUGCCUUUU
This 101-nucleotide signal recognition particle RNA is filed under the name Flavobacteriales bacterium TMED191. Its description in RNAcentral is "signal recognition particle sRNA small type". It matches the Rfam family "Bacteroidales small SRP". Rfam says of the family: The non-coding component of the signal recognition particle in Bacteroides The record is from RNAcentral. Lineage: Bacteria; Pseudomonadati; Bacteroidota; Flavobacteriia; Flavobacteriales.